This 901-nucleotide long non-coding RNA is filed under the name Drosophila guanche. Lineage: Eukaryota; Metazoa; Arthropoda; Insecta; Diptera; Drosophilidae. The record is from RNAcentral.
GUUCGUUCACACACUAAACAUCUCGUGACAAUACUCAAAAUUAAAAAAAAAAAACUGAAAUGUGCAAAGUGAAACUGUAAAAGUUAAAACUCUAAAAAGAAUUCACAAAACCCACAGCUCGUACGAUUGGUCGCAGUUCCUGAUGCAAACUAAAUGCAGCUUCAGUACAACAUUCCCAACAUUCUAAACGAGGAGAACGUCAAGCAGCAACAACCCAGAGGAGCAGCUCUGCAGCGUCCAAUCAAUCAUUCGUGGAACUUCUGGGCAGGACCUACGUGUGUGACCCUUUGCUAUGAGAUGGAGUUCGGCCGAUGGCAGUUGGAGAGAAUCCGUUGCCAGGUUUUGGAGAGUUUAGCUUAGGAUAAUGGGUUUGUCAGUGUCGAUUUAAAUGGCUUUUGCAAAUCGCAUUUUUCAAUAACAAAUCACUCCCCACCUACAGGGGCUCCACCCGAGAAGAUUUCACUUUUGUCGGCUAAAGCGGCACUUAAACAUGUGCACAUCGAUGAGCCCGCUCGCUGGCCAGAUUAAGAGUGAGUCCUGAACCAUUGGUACUAUGUGCAAUCUUCAUGCAAGCUAAUCUGAAACCCUUUCCGUAGAUCCAACUCUGUAGUUCCCUUCCCGAGUUCCUGACAAUCCCACCGCCCAAAUUAUAUUCUAACCUAAAUUCUUCAAAAUCCUGGCGGCGUAUCUUUUUCAAGUGCCACGACCGAACUCCAUACCAUGGUAGGGGCUCAUCCACGUCGGACCAGGGUUCCUUCACCUCCUAACGCUGGCGAUUGGCUGCGCUUGUGGUUGUUGCUGCAAAUUCCAUUUGUGAUCCUUCAACUGGCUGCAAUUGCAGGCUACGACUGCAGGCUCUUGUUGCUUCAGAUUUAUUUUUAUGACGAAAGCAAACACAAAU